This is a long non-coding RNA of Amblyraja radiata (thorny skate), 720 nucleotides long. RefSeq lists it as uncharacterized. The transcript has 2 exons. The record is from RefSeq and is a predicted model, not a curated record. NCBI's taxonomy places the organism in Eukaryota, Metazoa, Chordata, Chondrichthyes, Rajiformes, Rajidae.
AUCAAUUCCAACACAUAUGGGUUUGAAGCAGUGAGAUUGUAUUUUGCGGCCAUCUUAGAGUUUUGGAAAUGUUCAGAUUUUUUAAUAUCUAUUUUUCUAGCUCUUUGGAAGCUGCAUUUGUAAAGUGAUGACCUGGCUUUGUGAAAAGGGCUUCCUCCAGAAAUACAACUAAAGUUCUGGUGUUGGGCUAUGCACUUCAGCGAUGUGGCAAUGGAGAUCUUUUUGUGUAGGUAAAUUUUAACAUGAAUUUGGAGACAGCAAGACAAUGAUUUUAUCUUGAAGGUGUAUAGUUUUUUAUAUUUUGAAAUGAAUUAUUUUUAAAUUGCAUACUGAUUUUAUUUGUAAAAUUGUUUUGUUAGAUGAGAUAAUAAUAAAAUGGACUUUGCCGUUGAUGCACUUGUCAAACUGCUUGAUGCAAAUGCUUUCUCUUUUAGUGUAAUAACAGUCUGCAUGCAAUGAAGCCUCAGAAAAAUGCGAUAUCAGAAAAUCUGGUUGUUAAGUUGAGGAAACAUGACACGAAAUUUGACCUUUCCAAUAAUUUUGAGAGAUUAAUCGUAGGUAAAUUGCGAAAUUAAAUGUAGCCGCAAUCAUUCCAAUGUUUAUGUUCCAACCGCUAUUUAGUUCUAAUGCCUUUACUGUACAAUGAGACAGUCUAUUAUUCUGUUUAUGGAUGUAUAAACUUCAAAUCCAAAAUAAAGCAAAUACCUUUCUAAAACACAA